GUUGUCUACAUUUUGGAUAUAAAAUUUCUUUUCCACCAAUAAUUGCCACCCUGUACAAUCAUCUUCCUUUUCCGUUUGACAGUUGAAAUUAGCGCAUAAAAUUUGUAAAAUAUACAUUUGUAAAAAUUUACACCUUUAAUUUUAAUAUAUUAGCAAAAGUCUAUUCAUUAAGAAAUUGCUUAUUAAAAAGUGAAAUAUGUAUUUAGGAAUAUUUUCCGCUUGCUUCGUACUUUGAAAAGUGUGUAUGUAAUGUGCAAGAGCCUGAUUCAAGAUUGAAAUACAGAACUGAGGAAAAAAUUCUAGCAAAAGACUGAAAGCGCUCAUGAUCAAGCAGAAAGUGACUGAAGGAAGUCUACAAAUUUAUAAGAAACUAAGCAAGGAAGAUUUGUUGUUGCCUCGGACGAGCAGUGCGCAGAUAUACCUGCAUAUACUCGUGUAUAUGUACAUAUGUAUAUGUACAUACGUGUACAUAACUAAAUCUUGAUUUAUGGCACGUAUGCUUGACAAAAGAGUAUAUACGCAGGAUCAGCGAUGAUCAACCCUCGGCGUGAAUGCUUUUAAGUUACGUAUGUAUAUGUAUGUAUAUAGAAUGCAUGCCUUUCUUAUGCGUGAAAUUCAAUAUGCCUUUAACGUUUCUUAUUACGUAACUUGAGCACGAUCAGCGUCUUAGCAAGCAACAGGCGCGCAGAUUUGAUUAGAAGUUUGCUCGGAUUUUUGAAAUAAUAAUAUUUUUGUUUUCUUGAAAUACAUACAAACUCAGGCUCAUACAUUUAAGUGUAUAUCCAUAAAAAAAUAUAUAUAUACAUACAUAUGUACAUAUAAUAUUAAUAAAUAGCUGUGCGCUUGGAGAAGGGCAGAUUUUCGACAACUACAA
Long non-coding RNA from Ceratitis capitata (Mediterranean fruit fly), 874 nucleotides. RefSeq lists it as uncharacterized. The transcript has 2 exons. The record is from RefSeq and is a predicted model, not a curated record. Lineage: Eukaryota; Metazoa; Arthropoda; Insecta; Diptera; Tephritidae.